GAUGAACGCUAGCGGCAGGCUUAAUACAUGCAAGUCGAGGGCCCAGCAAUGGGACCGGCGCACGGGUGCGUAACGCGUAGGAAUCUGCCUGUUAGUGGGGGACAACUUAGGGAAACUUAAGCUAAUACCGCAUACGCCCUACGGGGGAAAGAGGGGAUCUUCGGACCUUUCGCUAACAGAUGAGCCUGCGUAGGAUUAGCUAGUUGGUAGGGUAAAAGCCUACCAAGGCGACGAUCCUUAGCUGUUCUGAGAGGAAGAUCAGCCACACUGGGACUGAGACACGGCCCAGACUCCUACGGGAGGCAGCAGUGGGGAAUAUUGCGCAAUGGGCGAAAGCCUGACGCAGCGACGCCGCGUGAGGGAUGAAGGUCUUCGGAUUGUAAACCUCUUUCAGCAGGGACGAAGCGAAAGUGACGGUACCUGAAGAAGAAGCACCGGCUAACUACGUG
RNAcentral lists this ribosomal RNA (449 nucleotides) under uncultured bacterium. RNAcentral describes it as "bacterial SSU rRNA". It matches the Rfam family "Bacterial small subunit ribosomal RNA", at positions 28 to 507 of the family's 1533-position model. The record is from RNAcentral.